UCUGGUGACCAUAGCGGGUUGGAACCACCCGGUCCCAUUCCGAACCCGGAAGUGAAACGAU
This 61-nucleotide ribosomal RNA is filed under the name Akkermansiaceae bacterium. Lineage: Bacteria; Pseudomonadati; Verrucomicrobiota; Verrucomicrobiia; Verrucomicrobiales; Akkermansiaceae. The record is from RNAcentral.